RNAcentral lists this ribosomal RNA (424 nucleotides) under uncultured bacterium. RNAcentral describes it as "partial 16S ribosomal RNA". It matches the Rfam family "Bacterial small subunit ribosomal RNA", at positions 359 to 775 of the family's 1533-position model. The record is from RNAcentral.
GAAUAUUGGACAAUGGGGGAAACCCUGAUCCAGUCAUGCCGCGUGUGUGAAGAAGGUCUUCGGAUUGUAAAGCACUUUAAGUUGGGAGGAAGGGCAGUAAGCGAAUACGUUGCUGUUUGGACGUUACCGACAGAAUAAGCACAGGCUAACUAGUUGCACGCAGCCUCGGUAAUACAGAGGGUGCAAGCGUUAAUCGGAAUUACUGGGCGUAAAGCGCGCGUAGGUGGUUCGUUAAGUUGGAUGUGAAAUCCCCGGGCUCAACCUGGGAACUGCAUCCAAAACUGGCGAGCUAGAGUAGGGCAGAGGGUGGUGGAAUUUCCUGUGUAGCGGUGAAAUGCGUAGAUAUAGGAAGGAACACCAGUGGCGAAGGCGACCACCUGGGCUCAUACUGACACUGAGGUGCGAAAGCGUGGGGAGCAAACAG